This 224-nucleotide ribosomal RNA is filed under the name uncultured bacterium. Its description in RNAcentral is "partial 16S ribosomal RNA". It matches the Rfam family "Bacterial small subunit ribosomal RNA", at positions 524 to 744 of the family's 1533-position model. The record is from RNAcentral.
UACGAAGGGGGGCUAGCGUUGCUCGGAAUCACUGGGCGUAAAGGGUGCGUAGGCGGGUCUUUAAGUCAGGGGUGAAAUCCUGGAGCUCAACUCCAGAACUGCCUUUGAUACUGAGGAUCUUGAGUUCGGGAGAGGUGAGUGGAACUGCGAGUGUAGAGGUGAAAUUCGUAGAUAUUCGCAAGAACACCAGUGGCGAAGGCGGCUCACUGGCCCGGUAUCGUGAC